GACGUAGGGGGCCAGCGUUGCUCGGAAUUACUGGGCGUAAAGGGUUCGUAGGCGGUGCGGCAAGUCGGGAGUGAAAUCUCUGGGCUUAACUCAGGGGCUGCUUCCGAAACUGCCGUGCUUGAGUGCGGGAGAGGCGAGUGGAAUUGCAGGUGUAGCGGUGAAAUGCGUAGAUAUCUGCAGGAACACCCGUGGCGAAGGCGGCUCGCUGGACCGCAACUGACGCUGAGGAACGAAAGCUAGGGGAGCAAACAGG
RNAcentral lists this ribosomal RNA (253 nucleotides) under uncultured bacterium. RNAcentral's name for it is "partial 16S ribosomal RNA". It matches the Rfam family "Bacterial small subunit ribosomal RNA", at positions 524 to 776 of the family's 1533-position model. The record is from RNAcentral.